RNAcentral lists this ribosomal RNA (738 nucleotides) under uncultured archaeon. RNAcentral describes it as "bacterial SSU rRNA". It matches the Rfam family "Archaeal small subunit ribosomal RNA", at positions 41 to 771 of the family's 1478-position model. The record is from RNAcentral.
CGAGUUAGCUCUCCUAGCCAUGAUGGAGGGCGGCGUACGGCUCAGUAACAUGUGGUCAAUCUACCCUCAGGACGGAGAUAACCUCGGGAAACUGAGGCUAAUAUCCGAUAGAUAAUGGAUCCUGGAAUGGUUCAUUAUUCAAAUGGCAUAUUGCUCAUGCGCAGUGUGUCGCCUGAGGAUGAGACUGCACCCUAUCAGGUAGUUGGUGGGGUAACGGCCCACCAAGCCUAUAACGGGUACGGGCCCUGAGAGGGGGAGCCCGGAGAUGGGCACUGAGACAAGGGCCCAGGCCCUACGGGGCGCAGCAGGCGCGAAACCUCUGCAAUGCGCGAAAGCGCGACAGGGCCACCCCGAGUGCUAGCCGCUGAGGCUAGCUUUUCCUUAGUGUAGUAAGCUAAGGGAAUAAGCGGGGGGCAAGCCUGGUGUCAGCCGCCGCGGUAAUACCAGCUCCGCGAGUGGUCGGGACGAUUAUUGGGCCUAAAGCGUCCGUAGCCGGCCUAUCAAGUCUCUGGUUAAACCUCAAGGCUCAACCUUGAGAUUGCUGGAGAUACUGUUAGGCUAGGGGGCGGGAGAGGUUGAGGGUACUUCGCGGGUAGGGGCGAAAUCCUAUAAUCCGCGAAGGACCACCAGUGGCGAAGGCGCUCAACUGGAACGCGCCCGACGGUGAGGGACGAAAGCCAGGGGAGCAAAGGGGAUUAGAUACCCCCGUAGUCCUGGCUGUAAACGAUGCGGGCUAGG